RNAcentral lists this ribosomal RNA (1424 nucleotides) under uncultured prokaryote. RNAcentral's name for it is "partial 16S ribosomal RNA". It matches the Rfam family "Bacterial small subunit ribosomal RNA". The record is from RNAcentral.
ACACAUGCAAGUCGAACGGUAACGAAGCUAGCUUGCUAGCAGGCGACGAGUGGCGGACGGGUGAGUAACGCGUAGGAACCUACCUAGUAGUUUGGGAUAGCCCAGAGAAAUUUGGAUUAAUACCGGAUACGCCCUACGGGGGAAAGUGGAGGAUCUUCGGAAAGCUCACGCUAUUAGAUGAGCCUGCGUAAGAUUAGCUAGUUGGUGAGGUAAAGGCUCACCAAGGCGACGAUCUUUAGCUGGUCUGAGAGGAUGAUCAGCCACACUGGGACUGAGACACGGCCCAGACUCCUACGGGAGGCAGCAGUGGGGAAUAUUGGACAAUGGGCGCAAGCCUGAUCCAGCAAUACCGCGUGUGUGAAGAAGGCCUGAGGGUUGUAAAGCACUUUCAAUUGUUAAGAAAAGUUUAAGGUUAAUAGCCUUGAGCCUUGACGUUAACUUUAGAAGAAGCACCGGCUAACUCCGUGCCAGCAGCCGCGGUAAUACGGAGGGUGCGAGCGUUAAUCGGAAUUACUGGGCGUAAAGGGUUCGUAGGCGGUUAUCUAAGUCAGAUGUGAAAUCCCUGGGCUCAACCUGGGAACUGCAUUUGAAACUGGUAAGCUAGAGUAUGGUAGAGGUAAGUGGAAUUUCCGGUGUAGCGGUGAAAUGCGUAGAUAUCGGAAGGAACAUCAGUGGCGAAGGCGACUCUCUGGACUAAUACUGACGCUGAGGGACGAAAGCAUGGGUAGCAAACAGGAUUAGAUACCCUGGUAGUCCACGCUCUAAACGAUGAGAACUAGUUGUUGGAGGAAUAUAAACCUUUAGUAGCGUAGCUAACGUGAUAAGUUCUCCGCCUGGGGAGUACGGACGCAAGAUUAAAACUCAAAUGAAUUGAGCGGGGCCCGCAGAAGCGGUGGAGCAUGUGGUAUAAUUCGAUGCAACGCGAAGAACCUUACCUCGUCUUGACAUGUAGUGAAUUUUUCAGAGAUGAGAAAGUGCCUUCGGUAACACUAACACAGGUGCUGCAUGGCUGUCGUCAGCGCGUGUCGUGAGAUGUUGGGUUAAGUCCCGCAACGAGCGCAACCCCUAUCCUUAGUUGCCAGCACAUAAUGGUGGGAACUCUAAGGAGACUGCCGGUGACAAACCGGAGGAAGGUGGGGACGACGUCAAGUCAUCAUGGCCCUUACGACCAGGGCUACACACGUGCUACAAUGGUUAAUACAGAGGGCUGCGAACUUGCGAGAGUAAGCGAAUCCCAGAAAAUUAAUCGUAGUCCGGAUUGGAGUCGGCAACUCGACUCCAUGAAGUCGUAAUCGCUAGUAAGCGCGGAUCAGCAUGCCGCGGUUAAUACUUUCCCGGGCCUUGUACACACCGCCCGUCACACCAUGGGAGUGAGCUGCACCAGAAGUAGCUAGGCAAACCUUUCGGGGAAGCCGGUUACCACG